Long non-coding RNA from Carassius auratus (goldfish), 1701 nucleotides. RefSeq lists it as uncharacterized. The transcript has 3 exons. The record is from RefSeq and is a predicted model, not a curated record. NCBI's taxonomy places the organism in Eukaryota, Metazoa, Chordata, Actinopteri, Cypriniformes, Cyprinidae.
CACAUGGACUGUCACUGGAGGUAAGGAAGUUGUUAAAACAAUCUUAAAUUAGUGGCUUUAUUUCGCAUCAAACACAAGACCGCUUUAAGCAAAUAUAAAAAUGUAUUAGUAUGUAAAUUAAUUGUAAUUCUAUUUUUAUACAAUAUAAAUAGAACGUACUUAAAAUACAAAGCGUUGGACAAACUAUGCAAAAAAAACACAAAAAAACUAUGCACUCUUUUCCGUCAAAAUGUACCUGAUGGAAUCGCCCUGAACUCGUGCAUCUUCGGGUGCGGGCUGCGUGGAAAGUUACAAAGAAUGCGCUGCACACCACGCGCACUCAAAACGAACUUCCGCCAAUGAGUUUUGAAGAACUCACGCGCCACUGAGAAGUUACCUGUGAGCACAAUGACUGUGCUGUGUCACACAUUCCUGCUCUUUACAGUCAGUAUGGCUUCCCUGCAGCCACAGACGUCUUCACGGAGCAGAAGGGGUUUGCUGGAGCUAGCUGGUGUGAUCAAGUGCAGCAUGGGACGAUCAGCUUUAUCUUAUGUAAAGUAUGGAUGUUACUGUGGUCACGGGGGUCAAGGGUGGCCAAGAGACAGAGCAGACUGAUGCGUUUAAUGACAGAUGUGCGAAUAUCCUUUGCCGAUGUGACCGGGAAGCAGCCAGAUGCCUCCGAGAGGCACCGUACAACCGAAAUUAUGCUCUGUGGCCAGAUUUCCUCUGUGGAUAUCUUCGUCCUACCUGCCACAUCUACUAAUGUCAUUUACUUGAAAUUUGGCAAACAAAUCUUUUUGAGCUUGUAUUGUAUGUUCGAUGUUGAUUACAGACUUCAUUCUGUUCAAAUGAUUUCCAUUUUCCACAUAUGUGUAUUUUAUAUUUGCAUAGCUGACUUUCGAAAGCGAAUAGAUUAAAACGUGCAAAAUAAUCACCAUAUUGCUCAUUUCUUAGCUACGUAAAUUCAGUCAUGACAUCAGAGCGUUUUCUGAUUGGCACUGCAGAGAGAGUGGGGAGAGUUAUUUAGUUAUUAAUGUAAAUGUGUCAUAAACAAUAGGUAGAGUACUGUCAGGACCUCUGCAUGCAGACACAAUUUGCAAAAUACAUACAGCUGCUUUAGGAAAGGGGUCUCCACAGUCGGUCCUGCGGGUCGGGGUCCUGCAGAGUUUAGCUUCAACAGCAAUUAAACAUACCUGAACCAGCUAAUCAGGGUCUUACCAGGCAUGCUAGAAACUUCCAGGCAGGAGUGUUGAGGCAAUCUGGAGCUAAACUCUGCAGGACGGUGGCCCUCCAGGACAGAGUGUGGACACCCCUAAUUUAGGAUGACUAAAAACAAGUCAAAACAACUUCACAUAAAGAUAUUUCUUAUUUGAAUCCCCCUCAUUAACAAUGCCCCACCCCGAUCAUAUGGCCUUGAAAAACUUGGAUAUGCAUAUGGAAGUGUGAAGUUAUAAGAAAACCCUAUGCCAUAAUUUAUUUAAAAUAGUACUUAUAAUAGUAUAGACAUAUCACUUAAGACUUAUAAUAAUUAUACUUUAUUUGGAAUAUUUAUUCAUUGCACGAUGCACAUUUCUUAAUAUUCUGCCAAAAAUGUUUUAAUAUCACCAUUAACAAGGACUGCAUGAUCUCUGUAUAAUAAUCUUUGAAUGGAAGAUAUUUAAAGUGCACCUAAAGUAUACUUGCAAUAGUUCCACUUUAGCACAAUCUUAUACACUUCAGUAU